Molecule: long non-coding RNA, 298 nt
Organism: Limulus polyphemus (Atlantic horseshoe crab)
Lineage: Eukaryota; Metazoa; Arthropoda; Merostomata; Xiphosura; Limulidae
Exons: 3
Source: RefSeq, a predicted model, not a curated record
UAUAGCGGAAGAUGAGGUAUAUCGGUAUGGCUAUAAUUACUCGUAAUGAGUGUACUAGAAAAAUGAACUUGUGAACGAACUAAACUUUUGUUGAAUGUAAUUCGACAACUUCAAGGAAAAAGUUGUUAGACUUCACUGGGAAUACUGCAUACAAGUUUGGUUUUUAACACAGUGGAAAAGACUCAGAAGAAGGCUACUAGGAUGAUUCUAGAUUACCAUGGACUAUGAAAAAAAGCUGGAAUUUUUGCGUUCUUACAUUCCUUUUCUUCAGAAGGUUAUACAUCAUCUUCAGGUUGAU